UGCAGUCGAACGUGAAAGCACUUCGGUGUGAGUAGAGUGGCGGACGGGUGAGUAACGCGUGGGAAUCUGCCCAGUAGUGGGGGACAACUACCGGAAACGGUAGCUAAUACCGCAUACGCCCUAUGGGGGAAAGGCUUCGGCCGCUAUUGGAUGAGCCCGCGUCAGAUUAGCUAGUUGGUAGGGUAAAGGCCUACCAAGGCAACGAUCUGUAGCUGGUCUGAGAGGACGAACAGCCACACUGGGACUGAGACACGGCCCAGACUCCUACGGGAGGCAGCAGUGGGGAAUAUUGGACAAUGGGCGAAAGCCUGAUCCAGCAAUGCCGCGUGUGUGAAGAAGGCCUGCGGGUUGUAAAGCACUUUCAGUUGGGAAGAUGAUGACGUUACCAACAGAAGAAGCACCGGCUAAAUCCGUGCCAGCAGCCGCGGUAAUACGGAUGGUGCGAGCGUUAAUCGGAAUUACUGGGCGUAAAGCGCGCGUAGGCGGCUAAGUCAGUCAGAAGUGAAAGCCCCGGGCUCAACCUGGGAAUUGCUUUUGAUACUGCUUGGCUAGAGUUUGGUAGAGGAUAGUGGAAUUCCAGGUGUAGCGGUGAAAUGCGUAGAUAUCUGGAGGAACAUCAGUGGCGAAGGCGACUGUCUGGACCAAAACUGACGCUGAGGUGCGAAAGCGUGGGUAGCAAACAGGAUUAGAUACCCUGGUAGUCCACGCCGUAAACGAUGUCAACUAGCCGUCGGGUCUAUUUACAGACUUGGUGGCGCAGCUAACGCGAUAAGUUGACCGCCUGGGGAGUACGGCCGCAAGGUUAAAACUCAAAGGAAUUGACGGGGGCCCGCACAAGCGGUGGA
RNAcentral lists this ribosomal RNA (845 nucleotides) under uncultured Gammaproteobacteria bacterium. Its description in RNAcentral is "bacterial SSU rRNA". It matches the Rfam family "Bacterial small subunit ribosomal RNA", at positions 56 to 936 of the family's 1533-position model. The record is from RNAcentral. Lineage: Bacteria; Pseudomonadati; Pseudomonadota; Gammaproteobacteria.